This is a long non-coding RNA of Athalia rosae (coleseed sawfly), 2921 nucleotides long. RefSeq lists it as uncharacterized. NCBI's taxonomy places the organism in Eukaryota, Metazoa, Arthropoda, Insecta, Hymenoptera, Athaliidae. The record is from RefSeq and is a predicted model, not a curated record. The transcript has 5 exons.
AACGUGGACUAUCCUCUCGACCUGGACGGGAUAGGGACGGGGAACGGGCACCGCUACGUGAACGGGAACGGGAACGGGAACGCCGACGUGUUUGGUGACCGUCUGGACGACCGGGACUCCGACGGGGUAGGGGGCCGGGUGUCCUGCAAGCAGACGGCAAAAGACGCCAUUUUGAUUAGAUUCUGUUCGGGGCGACUCACCGAGAGGUUGGGGAAUCUGCACAACGGGAGCCGCGGGUUGCAGAAUUAAAUCCGUGUGCGGAAUUUGGUGUCCGGCGGGAUUCUCGAGGACGGCGGCCACCGGCGGAUUGUAGAGAGGCGCCGGAGGUGCGGCGGCGGCGGCAAAAUUGUGAUGAUGAUGAUGAUGGUUCUCGUAGAGAGGUGACGGCGAUUCGGGGGGUGGUCCGUAAAUCGAGCUUUUUUAUCGACGGUCACCCCCGCGGCGCAGACAGCAAAGGUCACUGCCAAGGUCAGCGAAAAGGCUGUCUGAAAGGACGGAAGGAAUCGGAAGUUAGAACACGCAUAUCGAGCGGACGACGCGGAGUUUUUCACGGUUCGGACAAAAAUCGCGUUGGAUGCGAAAAAGCGAAGUGGGUUAUCCGGUUGAUCUGAUAUAAUCGGAUUACCGGCGAUGCAGGUAUUUGUCAGAUGGGGAUAAAAUCUUGCCCGGCGGAAGAUAUCCUCGCGGAGCUUUCAUUAAAUUCGUUAUAACGAGAAUAAUCCUGGGCGAAUCCUUUGACGAAGAGUUUUAUUGUUAUGUAGAUUCGUCGUUAUACACGCAUGUUCUCGAUCAACGGAUGCAUAUAAUUACCGUGUGGAUCAUCCUCAUGGUUCGAGAAAUAACGAAGAAACGAAUAAAACCGAGGAAAAAUAAAAGUGAUUUCCAACAAACUGCACUUCAGCGUUAUAAAAACUAAACUAUCAAUCGUUGCCUAUGGGCGUCCCGUAUUUAUACCGAACCGCGAAUGACGGUGAAAAUUAAUUCAAUCAGCGGAGGUAAAUCGACGAUUAAGCGGGGGUGGGGAAUUUCAAGCGUAUGACACGAGGAGCUGUAGCAGGAAUUAUAAUCGAUUAGAUGCAGUGUCGGCUUUCGAUUAUCCUUAUUAUCCGAAUCGUCGAUAAAAAACUGGAUAAGUUUGCUGAUAAAGAAAAAAGGAGAGUGCUGUUCAUCCCCAUAACUGCACCGUUGUACCAUACGUGACUUACAUAAACGUUGUAAUUUUUUUAAUUUCUUCAUACUUCGUUGCGUUAAAGUAAUGUCGUUUUUAUUUUUUGUUUUUCGCCCAUGUCGAAACGCGGAUUGAAAAUUUUCGAAUACCUAUAACCAGAAACGAGUCGCGUUAUUGUGUGCGUGAAAUUCUAACGUGUGGCUUUGGCAUUGGAAAUCGAAAGCAUAUUUGACGAAAGAAAGUUCCCGUACUUCCCUCUUCGGAAUGUGAUAUACAUAUGCGUCAUACAAUAGCAUUUAUGUACCGUAUGGUCUGAACUCGUCGUUGCCGUUUUGGUUUGCGCUUGUGGGAAUUUCAUUUUUACUUUUUCGUACCUUAUACACCAACCCCGAUGGAAUAAAUUCAUCGACGACGAGUUCGAUGUGAAUCUGUAUACGAUAUGUGUAUAUUUUUUAGAACCUAAUUAAAAUCGAAAGAAGAAAACUAUAUAAUAUACACACGAAAAAAAAAUCGAUGCGUGAAUUGGCAUCGCGUGAUUUUUGAUAAAUAAGAAAAAAAAAAAAAAAAAAAAAACAACAUAGUUACGACGUAAUAUUAGCACUGAUAUUAUAUUCGUUUGCAUUAAUUUCACCGGAUGUUAUAUUAUACACCGAUCGAAUAAUUAAAACCCGGAAGUAGGUCACUAGGCUUUAUCCGGUGCAUAUAAGUAUGAUCAGGUAUAUACAGGUGUAAUCGUACAUGAACUGUCCGUUAAACUAUGAAGACGUAUACAUGGGUGGAUGAACGGAUAUACUAUAUUCGACGUAUAAAAUACAUGUCUCGACGUAAUUUCGAUUAAUAUUUAUAUAAGUAUACAUGCGUAUACCUACACUGUUAUACCGGUCAACUGUUAUAUGGUGCAUGCAGGUUGAAAGCCCGUCGAGAUGUCCUUGAUUUUUCACUUUUUCGAUCGAUUAAUUGGCGAUAACUUGAUCAAUUUCAUAGAUGGAAUUAUUUUGAUCGCAGAUUCGGAUUCCUGAGACCAAAAUAUGAUAGGAAUAUCAUAGGAAACUCCAUUGAAAAAAUUCUGCAUCAUCAUCUCAAAUUCUGAGAAAACUGUUAGGCUAUAGGCUUACCGUUUUUUUGGGGUAAAAAGUGAAGUAUUUGUCAAAUUAAUUCCAGGACGCUUUUUCUACGUGAAAUUACGUAACGAACACGAAGUCGUUGAUUAGAUUCGGCUAGCAUCAAAUCCCAUCGAGGCGCACAGAUCAACUAGGACUUGUACCAGAUGCCACAGGUGAACUCAAAGGGGUUGUAUUUUGGGCAGGAAUCCUCCCGAACGAAGACCCGACAAGUUAUAGUUGAGAUUCAUCAUAUUUCCCAACCCUUCUCUCAUCUUUAUUUUCAGGAAAGCAUUGAGGCAUUGAAGUCUCUGAGGCAACGGUGGCAACACACCCGCAUAGAAAAUACGAGACUAUCCUCGUUGCAUUUACACCACUGGACUAUAAAAUAUCCCGUAGUUUGGUGAUCUAUACAUCCAAUCACUAUGUGUUCCGAGUGAAUAAUUACGUAGAAAUGAACAAUAAUGUAUACCUCUUGUAUCUUAGAGAAUAAGAAAUGAAUAAUUGAAUAUUAACUGAAAUGAAACUAUCGUCCAUACUCUUGUAACGCAUUGAUCAUGAGUAUACAAAAAUGAAUUUAUAUUGUUCAUUGCAAAGUCUCAAUAUGUAUUCUUGACGAUUGAUUUAUUAAUAAAAACUCUCUGUAACUAAUA